CAAGGCGGCGUGCCGAAUACAUGCAAGUCGACGGACCCUCUAGAGAUUGCUCCCUUAGGUCAGCGGCGGAGGGGUGAGUAACAGGUGGGUAACCUGCCUGUAAGACUGGGAUAUCUCCGGGAAACCGGGGCUAAUACCGGAUGCUUGAUUGAACCUCAUGGUUCAAUCGUAAAAGGGGGCUUUCAGCUACCACUUACAGAUGGGACGCGCGGCGCAUUAUCUAGUUGGUGAGGUAACGGCUCACCGAGGCUACGAUGCGUACCCGACCUGACAGGGUGAUCGGCCACACUGGGACUGAGACCCGGCCCAGACUCCUACGGGAGGCAGCAGUAGGGAAUUUUGCGCAAUGGGACGAAGGUCGGACGGAGCAUCUCCUGUGAGUGAAGAAGGUUUUGGGAUCUGGGACUGUGUUGGUAGGGAAAACAGGUACCGUUCGAAGAGGCUGGUACCUUGACGGGACCUAGCCAGAAAGCCCGCGGCGUAACUACCUGGCCA
Molecule: ribosomal RNA, 495 nt
Filed under: Bacillus sp. CFR1601
Lineage: Bacteria; Bacillati; Bacillota; Bacilli; Caryophanales; Bacillaceae
Description: bacterial SSU rRNA
Rfam family: Bacterial small subunit ribosomal RNA
Source: RNAcentral